Molecule: ribosomal RNA, 253 nt
Filed under: uncultured bacterium
Lineage: Bacteria
Description: partial 16S ribosomal RNA
Rfam family: Bacterial small subunit ribosomal RNA
Source: RNAcentral
UACGCAGGGGGCUAGCGUGGUUCGGAAUCACUGGGCGUAAAGCGCGUGUAGGCGGCAUGAUAAGCCGGGAGUGAAAUCCCGGGGCUUAACCCCGGAACUGCUCUCGAAACUGUCAAGCUCGAGUGUGACAGAGGAUGGUGGAAUUCCACAUGUAGAGGUGAAAUUCGUAGAUAUGUGGAGGAACACCGGUGGCGAAGGCGGCCAUCUGGGUCACUACUGACGCUGAGACGCGAAAGCGUGGGGAGCAAACAGG